CCCAGACUCCUACGGGAGGCAGCAGUGGGAAUAUUGCACAAUGGGGGAAACCCUGAUGCAGCGACGCCGCGUGGGUGACGAAGUAUUUCGGUAUGUAAAGCCCUAUCAGCAGGGAAGAAGAUGACAGUACCUGACUAAGAAGCCCCGGCUAACUACGUGCCAGCAGCCGCGGUAAUACGUAGGGGGCAAGCGUUAUCCGGAUUUACUGGGUGUAAAGGGAGCGUAGGUGGCAUGGCAAGCCAGAAGUGAAAACCCGGGGCUUAACCCCGCGGAUUGCUUUUGGAACUGUCAGGCUGGAGUGCAGGAGGGGCAGGCGGAAUUCCUGGUGUAGCGGUGAAAUGCGUAGAUAUCAGGAGGAACACCGGUGGCGAAGGCGGCCUGCUGGACUGUAACUGACACUGAGGCUCGAAAGCGUGGGGAGCAAACAGGAUUAGAUACCCUAGUAC
RNAcentral lists this ribosomal RNA (446 nucleotides) under uncultured bacterium. Its description in RNAcentral is "bacterial SSU rRNA". It matches the Rfam family "Bacterial small subunit ribosomal RNA", at positions 330 to 793 of the family's 1533-position model. The record is from RNAcentral.